Non-coding RNA from Triticum aestivum (bread wheat), 115 nucleotides. The record is from Rfam. NCBI's taxonomy places the organism in Eukaryota, Viridiplantae, Streptophyta, Magnoliopsida, Poales, Poaceae.
UAAGUACUCCCUCCGUUCGGAAUUGCUUGUCACAAAAAUGAAUGUAUCUACAACUAAAAUACAUCUAGAUACAUUCAUUUCUUGGACGAGUAAUUCCGAACGGAGGGAGUACAUU